This is a long non-coding RNA of Panicum virgatum (switchgrass), 4588 nucleotides long. RefSeq lists it as uncharacterized. The transcript is spliced from 3 exons. Lineage: Eukaryota; Viridiplantae; Streptophyta; Magnoliopsida; Poales; Poaceae. The record is from RefSeq and is a predicted model, not a curated record.
UUCACUAGGAACUCAAAGGCGGCAAGUAGAAAACAAAAGCAAUGCUGCAUCUGCAUGGCAUGAGUGCUCAAUUAUUCAGCUUGAUCUCUCUCGAGUCAGGUUCGAAAUGCUGGUUCCCUUCCUCCUCUCCCCAGGAUUACCCUGUUCACCAAUCUGCUCGGGACAACCAUUUAAUCAAAUCCAAUUUCCACCGCUUGUUCCAUCACAAAUCUGUGAAAAUCUCCAAUGAUCUCUUGAGUUCAUUGCUGCCUCAGAUCCCAAAUCUAAAGGAAACAUCACCACUCAACCCACCCCCAUCAAAUCCAAGCAGAUCCCCAAGCAUCCUCCAUCUUUCCACCGUUCCUGAUAUGGAUCCAGCCAGGAUUGCUCUAGUCCAUACACGGGAAGUGGAAUUGAGCUAUCCGAGCACGGAUCUGCUGACAGGGCUUCUUGGCAUCCUCAUCCUCAACAAGCACUGCAUGGUUUCCCAUCUAAAGAGUAUGAGAAGCAGAAGCAUGACGCCAUCUCCCUGCAGUGCUCUUCACCUCCAUCAACUACAACAUGAACAUCUGGCUCUGGUGCCAGCCUCAAGGGUGCCAGGGGCACGAUGAGAUUUUAAGCUGGAACUGUCGAGAUAUGGGCAGGAGCCUUGGCAGCAGCACAAUGCAACAUCUCGCCUGACUCAUGACAUCGACACACACUCAGAGGAAGCUCAUUUAGUCCACCAGCACCAAAUUCUCCUAGAUAAGAUCACAGAAUACUACAAGCAAAGAGCGAAAAAGCUCUGGGCAGUUGAUGGUGAUGACGCCGCCGAGUUCUUCCAGCAGACUGUUAUUAAAAGGAAAUGGAAAAGUUGUCUUGCACACAUCCAGGAUAUCCAAGGAAAUAUAAUUUCAACUCCUGGUGAAAUAGCUGAUUUUUUCAUAACGUAUUUCGAUAAUCUUUUCUCUACCUCUAAUCCUGCCUGUUCCUCCAAUGCAGAGUAGUCAACAACAGGUACUUUUGGAUGACCAUUUUACCAUGACCAUUCCAGAUACAUAUGAACUUUUGCAGUUGAUAAAAAGGAUGAAAGAUGCUGCACCAGGACCUGACGGUCUCAAUAUUACUUUCUACAGGGCUGCUUGGGACUGGAUUCAAGAGGACGUUACUGAUUUAAUCACUAAUUUUUACAGAAAAAGGGUUUCAGUUACAUUGACUAGUGAACCAGACUGACUAUGCUGGACACCAGCUCCGUCAGGAGUUUGCACCUCAAAGGAUGCAUUCCGAGUUCUAGAAACUGCAGCUCAACAGCCUCCACCAUCUCAGGGAAGCAGAUCAAUCACUCAGGACACGCUCAACAUUCUCAAGACGGUUUGGAAAGACUAAGCUGUUGCAGCCUAGGAUCAAGACAUUUGCAUGGCGGUUGCUACGAAAUGCUCUGCCAACAGGAGCGAGCGCUCAUCGAUUCUCUCAGCAUUUUUUUUAGCAGGAAAACAAAGCUUCCACUUAACCAGAGGCUCCAGGGAGAUCCCCAGAGACCAAAUUGGCUACAAAUUCGAGGACUUGGUUCAUGAACACCACUGAACCAGAACGUACAACGUUCGCCCCAUGAGCAGCAAGGCUAUCAGCCACUUUGUUGCAUGAUCUCGGACAAACUCGAACCACACAUCGAUCAAACACUUGAUUCAUAAAAUUCCUGAUUUGGCGAAAUAGACCCCCUUCUGUGCUUCUGUCCAGAUCAUCAGAAGUCAGUCCUUUAUGGAGAUUUGAUGCAUCUCAAGCACUAUUCUCGUCAUUCCCAGUUGAGCCACUCUUUGUAGACUAUUCAAAGCAGCCUAGGCUUCGGCGUGUAUUGGACUUGUGACAUACUCUAGAGAUCCACAACCUCCUAAAAACUCACCAGUAUUAUCUCUUGCUACAAAACCCCAUCCACCAGUGUUUGAUUUGGCCCGAAAAGCUGCAUCAAUGUUAAUCUUAUAACAUCCAGGUUGUGGAGGUUCCCAUUUGUGUUCCUGUUUUUGUCCUUUUUCUGUUUCCUUCUUCCUUAGUUUUUCAAAAUCAGCCACAAAAAAGGUAACAAGCGAGCUUAUUUCCUGAGCUGACAGCCUUUUGUCUCCAGCAUUAACCUUAUUUCUAGCCAACCACCACCUCCAUAACAGAACCCAUACCUUCUGUUGUGUAUCUUCAUCCAUUUUCCAAAUUUCUUUAAUUGUCUCCUUUGCUGAUUUACAUUCCACCAGGAGAGUUCUAAUAUGUUCCAUUUCCAAUAGUCGCCAAACUCCCUUAACGCCCUGGCAUUUGAAAAAAAGAUGGCCACAAUCCUCGUCCAAUCUCCUGCACAUAGGACAGAUUGUUUCAUUUUUCAUUCCUCUUCUAGCAAUAUUUCUUCGAACUGCCAAGCUAUUGUGUGCUAGUCUCCAUAUAAACAUUUUCACUUUGUUUGGGAGAGGCAGUUUCCAAAUCCUUUUCCAUUCGAAUCUGUCCACACCUGAGUCAUUAGCAUUUGAUCUCGAUGCAUCCCUUGCCUUAUCUUGCUCUCUUUUGCUAACAGCCAGUUUGUACGCAGAUUUUACAGAGAAGUCCCCUUUAGGAUUAAAGUGCCAUGCUGGCCAGUCUUCACUGUUGUCAUCUGUAGCCAUUGACAAAAUAAUUUCAGCAUCUCUCUCCCAGAAAGUGUCAUUCACCAGCUGUUCAUCCCAAGAACCGGUUAAGGGAUCAAUCAAUUCUGACACUUUUGUGAGUAAAGAAGAACCCCUUGGGGUGGCUGGUCGACGAGUAACCCCAGUGGAAUCCAUGGAUCCGACCAAAUAUCUAAAGAAGUUCCUUUGCCCACCCGCCAGAUCACUUCUUCUUUUAAAAUUUCAACCCCAUGUAAAAUACUCCUCCAAGUGUAUGAAAUUCCAUCCCUUGUUGUACACUUUAAAAUGGUACUAUCAGCAAAGUAUUUUGCCUUCAGGACCCGGCUGCACAGAGAAUCCGGAUUGGUCAAAAUCCUCCAUGCCUGCCUUGCCAACAUAGCCACAUUGAAUAAAUACAAGUCCCUAAAGCCCAAACCUCCAUCUUUUUUUGGGAGAGUAAGUUUGUCCCAGCUCAGCCAAUGGAUCUUAUUCUCCUUAUCAUUUUGAUUCCACCACCAUUUUCCAAUAAGCGAAUUCAGUUCAUCACACAAUCCCUUGGUUAGAUCAAAACACGACAUUGCAUAGGUUGGAAUAGCUUGUGCCACAGCUUUAAUCAGUACCUCUUUGCCCGCUUUAGAAAGCAACUUCUCUUGCCAUCCUUCAAUUCUUCCCCAGAUUCUCCUUUUAAUAUAUUCAAACACUUUCUUCCGUGAUUUGCCAAUAGAUACAGGGAGACCCAGAUAUCGCUCACUUUUUGCCUCUGAACCAAUAUGUAAUUCUUCCCUUACCUGGGCUUUGCAAAUCACAUCUGUAUUUGGGCUGAAUAAAACUGAAGACUUAUCUCUAUUUAUCAGCUGUCCCGACGCCCUCUCAUAAACAUGCAGGAUUCUUUGUAAUUCACUGGCAUCCUCCUUUCGCGCUCUCAUAAGGAUUAGAGAGUCAUCCGCAAAGAACAAAUGAUUUAUCCUCGGUGCUGCCUCACAUAUUUUGAUUCCUUGAAUUUUACCUUCUGAUUCAGCAUUUUGCAGCAAGGCUGACAAAGCUUCCGCACAAAUAAUGAAUAAAUACGGGCUGAGGGGAUCUCCUUGCCGAAGCCCUCUUUGUGGAGUCACAUUUGUUGUGUAUUCAUCAUUAACCUUAAUGCGAUAGGAAACCGUCGUAACACACAUCAUAAUCAAAUUAAUCUACUUUUCACUAAAACCUAGCUUUUCCAUCAUUUUCUUCAAAAAUAUCCACUCCACUCGAUCAUAGGCUUUACUCAUGUCCAAUUUUAUUGCUGCUACCCCUUCUUUCCCUCUCCUUUGUUUUAAAUAGUGAGUCAGUUCAUAUGCCACCGGUACAUUAUCCGUGAUUAGACGACCUGGGACAAAGGCACUCUGGAAUUGGGAAAUAAUUUCUGGUAAGAUUGUUUUCAUUCUAUUUGCUAUGGCCUUUGAGAUCAACUUGUAUGCAACAUUACAUAGACUGAUGGGGCGCAGGUCCUUCAGUUUUUCUGGUUUAUUUACUUUUGGAAUCAGCACUAUUAUAGUAUCAUUCCAACCCCGUGGCAUACGACCUCCAUUCAACACACUGAGCACCUCUUCCUUCAAUUUGUCCCCAACCAGCGACUAGAACCUCUUGUAAAAGAUUGACGGAAUUCCAUCAGCCCCUGGGGCCUUCAGAUCGCCCAUUUCUUGCAAAGCUUUCCAGACUUCAUCAUCCGAGAAAGGAGCCUCCAAACACUCAUUCAUUUCAUGUGACACCCGGGUAUGGACACACCCAAGCACCUCCUCCAUCUGAACACCUGCAUUAGACAUAAAAAGAUCUUGAUAUUGGUUAGCUAUAAAAGUUUUCAGAGAUUUCCCCGCCACCACAUCUCCCCCAUCCUUCAACAGCUUGUCAAUAUGAUUCUUCUUUCUCCUUUCAGAAACUUGGGCAUGAAAAAAUUUAGUAUUUCGAUCACCCUGGGUCAGCCAAGUAGAAUGGGCUCGCUGCUUCCAAUAUAUAUGCUGUUGGUCCAACAACCUCUCCAA